GAAUGACUUCCUUAUUAGAUUCAAACUAAAGCAACAUUAAUAAAAUUUUUUUAUGGAGGUUUCAUAUUAUGAAGCAAGGUACUGUUAAAUGGUUUAACGCUGACAAGGGUUACGGUUUUAUUACAACUGACGAUGGUGACGUAUUCGUUCACUUCUCAGCUAUUAACAAAGACGGAUUCAAGACUCUUGAUGAAGGCGAAAAAGUUACUUUGGAUGUUGAAGAUGGCGAUCGUGGCCCACAAGCUGCUAACGUUACUCCAGUUGAAGAAUAAUCAACUUUUAAAAAGAUCUCAACUUCGGUUGGGAUCUUUUUU
This 314-nucleotide small RNA is filed under the name Fructilactobacillus lindneri DSM 20690 = JCM 11027. RNAcentral's name for it is "Lactobacillus lindneri DSM 20690 = JCM 11027 cspA thermoregulator". It matches the Rfam family "cspA thermoregulator", at positions 78 to 428 of the family's 428-position model. Lineage: Bacteria; Bacillati; Bacillota; Bacilli; Lactobacillales; Lactobacillaceae. The record is from Rfam by way of RNAcentral.